UCUUCACCCUACUGGGCUUAGCAAUUGGUGCUUUGGAGUACUUCUAUGCCCCCUACUGGCGUGUGAGAAAGGUACCUGGUCCUCCCACCACUCCACUCGUAGGUCACCUACCCUUGCUUGCAAAGCAUGGUCCUGAUGUCUUCAGUCUCCUUGCCAAACGCUAUGGGCCCAUCUUUAGAUUUCAAAUGGGUAGGCAGCCGUUGGUGAUAAUAGCAGACCCAGAACUGUGUAGAGAGGCUGGGAUAAAGAAAUUCAAGGAUUUGAGC
This is a long non-coding RNA of Telopea speciosissima, 266 nucleotides long. RefSeq lists it as uncharacterized. The record is from RefSeq and is a predicted model, not a curated record. Lineage: Eukaryota; Viridiplantae; Streptophyta; Magnoliopsida; Proteales; Proteaceae. The transcript has 2 exons.